RNAcentral lists this ribosomal RNA (461 nucleotides) under uncultured ammonia-oxidizing beta proteobacterium. RNAcentral's name for it is "bacterial SSU rRNA". It matches the Rfam family "Bacterial small subunit ribosomal RNA", at positions 202 to 646 of the family's 1533-position model. The record is from RNAcentral. Lineage: Bacteria; Pseudomonadati; Pseudomonadota; Betaproteobacteria.
AAGUAGGGGAUCGUAAGACCUUGCGCUUUUGGAGCGGCCGAUGUCUGAUUAGCUAGUUGGUGGGGUAAUGGCCUACCAAGGCUACGAUCAGUAGCUGGUCUGAGAGGACGGCCAGCCACACUGGGACUGAGACACGGCCCAGACUCCUACGGGAGGCAGCAGUGGGGAAUUUUGGACAAUGGGCGAAAGCCUGAUCCAGCCAUGCCGCGUGAGUGAAGAAGGCCUUCGGGUUGUAAAGCUCUUUCAGCCGGGAAGAAAAGGUUGUGACUAAUAAUCGCAAUUCAUGACGGUACCGAAAGAAGAAGCACCGGCUAACUACGUGCCAGCAGCCGCGGUAAUACGUAGGGUGCGAGCGUUAAUCGGAAUUACUGGGCGUAAAGGGUGCGCAGGCGGUUUUGUAAGUCAGAUGUGAAAUCCCCGGGCUUAACCUGGGAACUGCGUUUGAAACUACAAAGCUUAGA